UACGUAGGGUGCGAGCGUUGUCCGGAAUUAUUGGGCGUAAAGGGCUCGUAGGCGGUCUGUCACGUCGGGAGUGAAAACUCAGGGCUUAACCCUGAGCCUGCUUCCGAUACGGGCAGACUAGAGGUAUGCAGGGGAGAACGGAAUUCCUGGUGUAGCGGUGAAAUGCGCAGAUAUCAGGAGGAACACCGGUGGCGAAGGCGGUUCUCUGGGCAUUACCUGACGCUGAGGAGCGAAAGCAUGGGGAGCGAACAGG
This 253-nucleotide ribosomal RNA is filed under the name uncultured bacterium. Its description in RNAcentral is "partial 16S ribosomal RNA". It matches the Rfam family "Bacterial small subunit ribosomal RNA", at positions 524 to 776 of the family's 1533-position model. The record is from RNAcentral.